UGAGGAAUAUUGGUCAAUGGGCGAGAGCCUGAACCAGCCAAGUAGCGUGCAGGAUGACGGCCCUAUGGGUUGUAAACUGCUUUUAUAUGGGAAUAAAGUGAGGGACGUGUCCCUUAUUGCAUGUACCAUACGAAUAAGGACCGGCUAAUUCCGUGCCAGCAGCCGCGGUAAUACGGAAGGUCCAGGCGUUAUCCGGAUUUAUUGGGUUUAAAGGGAGCGUAGGCUGUCUAUUAAGCGUGUUGUGAAAUUUACCGGCUCAACCGGUGGCUUGCAGCGCGAACUGGUCGACUUGAGUAUGCAGGUAGUAGGCGGAAUUCAUGGUGUAGCGGUGAAAUGCUUAGAUAUCAUGACGAACUCCGAUUGCGCAGGCAGCUUACUGUAGCAUAACUGACGCUGAUGCUCGAAAGUGCGGGUAUCAAACAGG
RNAcentral lists this ribosomal RNA (424 nucleotides) under Verrucomicrobiota bacterium. RNAcentral describes it as "Verrucomicrobia bacterium partial 16S ribosomal RNA". It matches the Rfam family "Bacterial small subunit ribosomal RNA", at positions 355 to 776 of the family's 1533-position model. Lineage: Bacteria; Pseudomonadati; Verrucomicrobiota. The record is from RNAcentral.